Molecule: long non-coding RNA, 1467 nt
Filed under: Phocoena sinus (vaquita)
Lineage: Eukaryota; Metazoa; Chordata; Mammalia; Artiodactyla; Phocoenidae
Description: lncRNA (ENSPSNG00000020520.1)
Source: RNAcentral
GGAGCCAGACAUCCUGAAGGCCUCUUCACUUCAAGAGUAUCUUCUAGUAUAAAGAGGCUGCAUGAAGUGCCGGGCUGGGCACUGAGGACUUCCAAGGAGGAGGGAUGUGCAGGCUGAGUUGAUUGGGGAAGGUUUCCUGGACGAGAUGGGACGUGGGUUGAGGCUGCAGGCUGGUCGGGAUUUGGCAAGGUGGAGGGGACUGUGUGAGCACAGGGCAGAGACUGGAGUCUUUCAGGUGUUGGGCAAGUCCCAGGGGUCCCAACUCCUUAGGAGGGAGGAGGCUGGGAGUCAGAGCCUUCCUCACAGGCCUUGGAGAAGAAAAGGGGCUGGCAGGGCUGUCCCCCUUACUCUGCUCCCCAGCACCCCCAGAACAGGCUGCUGUUGCCCAUUGAACUGUGCUGGCCAGAGGGGUGUGUUGGGAGCUGGGCUUGCUUGAUGGUCAAGUUAAUGGUAGGGAAGUGGGGAGACAUCCUUUUCAAGUGGGCGUGCCUCUCUCUGAACCUGUUUUCAAGAACCAGCUUCAGCCGUGCUGGGGGGCAAUUUGGGGAGGCCUUCCUCCCCAAGCGUUUUUCUCCUUCACCUCCUGCCCAGCCCCUGCUCCGGGUGAGGGAGGGGAUUACUUGGAGAAGGCAUCUCCCACCCCUCUUAACUCUGUGGGUGUGUCUUCAUUGCUGGGGGUGGUGGUCCCCAAACCAUAUGCCUUCUCUACUCACUUCCAAAUAGCCAAGAAUAAUACUUUUUAAAAAAGUAAUGUUUUCAAGACUUGGAGUGUUUUUCUGAUCUUCCUUGGGGAGGGGGGGAUGAGCACCUCCAAGCCUGCCUGUGUCCUGCAGGGAGGGGCCUGCUGGACACUGUCAUUACAGACUACCCUGCCUGGGGCCCCUUCUCUGUCUCAGGGCAUGGAGAUGAGAAUUAAGAUUCCCUGUGACUUUGGCCUGACCCUAUGCUCAGACGAAGUCCACGCCUCCCAUCGUUCCAAGGAACCCUCCCAACCUCCCCAGCCAAGCUCUGGCUCUGCCACGGUGCCUCCAGUCGGAAGUGUCGUAUUUGUGUGCGUCAGACUCCGAGCUUGUUACCUAGAUGUAGAUGGUCAGCUAUUCGAGAGAGAAGGCUUUACUUUCCUCAAAAGUCCUUUGUGGAUGUGAGGAAACACCUGCGAGAGGUCAUAUACCUACAAUAGUUCUCAUUUCUUCAGGGUUGACAAAGUGCCUUCAUAUAAAUGAGCUCGCUUGGCUUCUUUCAGCGAUUCUGUGACAUUUUAUGAAUGCAGCUCACCUGUGAAACGAUGUGACUUGCCCAAGGUCAGAGAGUAGUGAGGAAUCCAAACCCAGCCUUCUUAUGCCACACACACUUACAACCCAAAUGGGUUUAUCGGAUGGGCCCACCGGAACCUCAGCACGGCGCACCGGGGGAGGGUGAGCAGGGCCAGCCCUGCAGUAGCCAUCACCGAGGACUGGGUGGGUGGGG